GACGAACGCUGGCGGCGUGCUUAACACAUGCAAGUCGAACGGAAAGGCCCGGCAUUUGUGGGGUGCGCGAGUGGCGAGCGCGGGAGUAACACGUGAGUAGCCUGCCCUUUACUGUGGGAUAACUUCAGUGGACUGGAGCGAAUACCGGAUAGAAGCUCCUUAUACAUGAGGGGGGUGGGUGAGAUUCGGCGGUUGGGGAUGGACUGGCGGCUUAGCAGCGUGUUGGUGGGGUAGUGGAGUACCAAGGCUUUGACGGGUAGCCGGCCUGAGAGGGUGACAGGCCACAUUGGCACUGAGAUACGGCCAAGACUGAUACGGGAGGCAGCAGUGGGGAACAUUGCAAGAUGGGCGGAAGCCUGAUGCAGCAACUCCGCGUCCGAGAUCACGGCCUUUGGGUUGUAACCCGCUUUCGCCUGUAAAGAAGAGUGAGUGACGGUAAUGGGUAAAGAAGCAACGGCUAACUACGUG
This 468-nucleotide ribosomal RNA is filed under the name uncultured bacterium. RNAcentral's name for it is "partial 16S ribosomal RNA". It matches the Rfam family "Bacterial small subunit ribosomal RNA", at positions 28 to 507 of the family's 1533-position model. The record is from RNAcentral.